RNAcentral lists this long non-coding RNA (1892 nucleotides) under Oncorhynchus kisutch (coho salmon). RNAcentral describes it as "lncRNA (ENSOKIG00005002762.1)". The record is from RNAcentral. Lineage: Eukaryota; Metazoa; Chordata; Actinopteri; Salmoniformes; Salmonidae.
UGUCGUUGUCCUCCAGUAGGGGUUUCUCUCUGAGGAAGACUGACGACGACCCCCGACCUUCCAUGCCGCCCCAGAACCACCACAGCACUCAGCAGCUUUACAGAGAGAGCAGCAGGUCAUAGAGCCCCACGGUAGCCGACGCGAUGACCCCCGACCUUCCACACCACCCCAGACCCACCACAGGACUCAGCAGGUCCUGGCUGAGGUGUGUUCGUGGGACCUCGCCCCUGUUCCUGAGCAACACAAGAAGGUCUGUCACAGCCUGGCAGUGGUGUCUGGAGGAGUUGGACUCGAGUGUGAACCUGUUGGGUGAUGGACCCUGUUCGGCCUGCUGUCAGCCUGCCCACUACUGGGCAGCCUCUCCCUGCCGGCCUGCAGCCUCACAGCCUGCUACCAGUAGCCAUACAGCCUCAUACUGGCCAGCGCCUUUGCAGAUAAACAGCAACACUGCAUCGUACUGGCCAGUACCCUGGCAGGUAAACAGGCUCAUUGAUAACCUUUUUAAACUGAUAUACAAAUAUUAUUAGCAUUAGAUCAUUUAUAUAAAUGGUGAAAAGCACAGGAGCCAGAAUGGAACCUUGGGGGACACCUGUUUUCAACUCCACAUGGAUACAUUGCUAUCUGUUGAUGAGGUGGUUCUUGAAAUGUGACCUAAGAAUCAAAAUCAUGUCAUUGUCCUACAGGAACAGGGCACCUGAAGUCAGUGAAUCUGUCCCAUAACGCCCUGUGCUCUAUGGGCUUUGAGCUGGUCCUGAAGACUCUGCCUCUCCAAUGUCUCACUCAACUCGAUGUCUGCCAUCCGCUGUGGAACCACUGACCACCCUCCUUCAAAACAUCUCAAACACACACACACAAAUGCACACACCGACACACACACACACACAAAUUCAAAUAAAGUUAUUCUAUUGUGUACUUUCACAUUAAUUAAGCAUUGUUUGUCUAAAGAAAUGCAUAAACUAUCACAUGAUCUACAGUAAGUAUUUACUUAGUAGAGGAAAUUUGUCCAGGAAGGUACACGAUAAAGACUGCAAAUCUAAGAAAUGGAUCAGUAAAUUAUGAGGAGCUUUUAAUAGAAUUUGUUGAAACAAUUGGUUGCGUUUCUGGUCUGAGGCAGGCGCCUUGCAAGUUGAGUAAACAUUUCACAGUUUGAAAAGGAAGUUUGUCAUCCGCUUAUCUGCUGCACAACUUUGCCUUUGGUAUUCAAGCUAAGAAACGUAUUGAUAUGGUAAUUAGGAUACAAUGGUUGUAUCUUAAUUGUAUAUUUGACUUCAUGGGGAGCUAUGGCAAGAUGAUAUUUAGAGGAGCAAAUGUAGUUGUCACACCCUGAUCUGUUUCACCUGUCUUUGUGAUUGUCUCCAUUAUCCCCUGUGUAUUUUAUACCUGUGUUCUCUGUUGGUCUGUUGCCAGUUCGUCUUGUUUGUCAAGUCAACCAAUGUUUUUUUGUCUCAUGUCCUGCUUUUCCCAGUUUCUUUUUCUCGCCCUCCUGGUUUUGACCCUUGCUUGUCCUGUCUCUGAGCCCUCCUGCCUGACCACUCCACUUGACCCUGCCUGCCGUCCUAUACGUUUGCCCCACCUCUGGAUUAUUGACCUCUGCCUACCCUGACCCUGAGCCUGCCUGCCUGCCGUCCAGUACCGUUGCUCCACCUCUAGUUACUGACCCCUGCCUGCCUUUGACCUGUCUAUUGCCGGCCCCUGUUGGAUUAUUAAACCAUUGUUAAUUCGGCGUUGUCUGCAUCUGGGUCUUACCUUCAUACCUGAUAGUAGUGAUGGCUCCUCUGUAAGUAAGAUUCAUGUCAACUAGUAAUGUUUAAACUGAGAACUCAACACUGACAUAUUGGGUGAUAGUACUAUGUCUAACUGCCUGGUUAAGGGCAUACCAUGAGAUCUGGGAU